Long non-coding RNA from Bos taurus (domestic cattle), 773 nucleotides. The record is from Ensembl. Lineage: Eukaryota; Metazoa; Chordata; Mammalia; Artiodactyla; Bovidae.
UCCACGGCCCUCCCACUGCCGACUGCGAUCACGUACCCAACCCAGUGCUGCCCAGUCACACACUGAAAGGCCCCACCAACAGGUUCCUGCUGGUGGCUGCUGCUACCUGUCCAUAGGAAGACCAUCACAAACCCUGGCUCUGCUCAAGCCUCUGAGUUUCUACUGAACACAGCCCCAUCCCUGCACUGUCCCCCUUUCCCAACCCAACAUGUUCAAGAAUAUACUUUUCUUCUCAAAUUCUUCUUUUCUUGAACCAGCUCAGUUGGCAGGAGAGGGGAGCUAGUCCCAGGGCAGCAGCUCCUCUGAAGGUGGCCUUUGGCUGUGCUGCAAUUCUUACUCCUAAAACACUGAUUUCAAAUGGUGCUAGAUACAAAGAUGGAAAAAUCUAAGCCACCAUGUGAAACCAGCUUCCAGAAGAAGAGGAUCUCACUGAAGAAAGGAGGGAGAUGCGAUCAGAAGACCCAGCCUUUGCCUGAGCAAAAAGAUGUCUUACUGCAGUUAUACUUGCCACGGGACAUAAGGGUCCCUUCAAAAGGCACAGAGAAGAGUUACAAAGUGAUGCUCAAAGAACAUGAAAGUCAAAGCUGGAAACAAGCACCCUUUCUGCCUGGGAGGCGCUGACGACUACACACAGGUGGGUUUCACCUGGACCAGGGCGACUCGCCCACAGACCCUGGUGAGGAAGACCACGGGCUCGCCCUUCCCCAUCACAGAUGAGCGGUCAGGACGUUCAAGUAUGACCCCGUUCCCUACCAACUCUUCAAGACUCCAGA